CUGACAUAUUGAUUCUUUGAAAAGAAAUUUAGAACUCAUAUCUAACAUGGGAGAGUGGGAAGAGGAAGAAGAUACAAAUGACCAGUACCAGGACUGAAAGGGAGAUAUCACUGCAGACCCUACAGACAUUAAAAAGGCUAAUAAGGGAAUACAAUAAACAAUUUUAUGCAUACAAAUUCAACAGUUUAGAUGAGAUGGACAAAUUCCUUGGAAAUUAUAAAUGCCAAAAGUCACCCCAAACUGAAUUUUUAGUGACUGGAGGCAUUUAUCUCAGUGGACUCUCCAGACUUUAUUCAAAGCCAUUGCCUGCUUCCAUCAAGCUUAGUCUUGAAUCUUUACCAAUGUUUGAUUUAUUCCUCUUACUUUUUUUUCUAUUAACUUUGAAUACCAUCCCUCCUCCUUUCCAAGACUUUAUUUAUUGUGAGUGAUAAUUGACAUAACCUUCAGGAACCUCAGAAACCUUAGGCAUCUGCAGAAACAUUUUGAAGCAUAUCAGACUAGCCUAUCUUUCUAGAAACCCGAUUCCCAUUCCCCUCUGCCAAACCCCUCAGCGGCGAUGUGUAUACUUUGUAUUAGUGCAUAUUCAGGAAGGUUCAAAGCACUUGUCUGCUACUCUUUGCAUGGCCACACCCUCAGUCAAGGGCCUUUCUGCUUCCAGCAUCAUUACAGAUGGAUUUGAGGCUUUGGGCUAUCUCCAGGGGAGCCAUCUCCUCCAGGUUUUUGUUCCCUUUUCUGACUCAGAACUUAACCAUUCUGGCAAAACUUUCUGUGGUGUGGCCAUAGUUACAGUACAGCGUUUGCAUUCUAUGGGUCUUACAACACUAUCCCCCAAAUCCACCAAUUUUCAGUAGCAUGUAGCUUGUCUCAUAAGCUUUAUUUCCUGCUUUAAAGGAUGAACAGUCCUCAGAGGAACCAAGUUCCUUGCCCAAAUAAUUUUGGCAAGGCUAAGACACUGAAGGACAUCUAUACGCCUUGUUUUCUCAUACAUCUUAGGCCUGUAAAUUCUGGUUUAUGGGUUCACAUCCAGAGUCCCUCCUUUCUUUCCAGCUUUCCAAUUAGUUUCUGUUAAUUUAUAUGGUAGAAAAUACAUAUUUCAAAGACGUAGUUCUUAGCUCUGUCUCAAAGUGCUUAAGCAGUUUUUAUCAAUUUCUUCUUAUUUGGGAGUGGUAUCCCCAAGCUAAUACCGCCUGUGAGGGAAAAAUAUAUACUCUUAGGCAACAUUUUGCUAGUAGCUUGAUAAUCAUAAGAGUGUCUUCUUGCUAGCAAUAUUUUGAGUACAACAGCAACAGAGUGUGCAAUGGAUUCACUGGUUAAGCCAAAAAGUUAUAAUGUUUGAACCUCCCAAGGGCCACCUCCAUAUUUAAUAUGAAUUUCUUUAAACCACCAGAGCUGGGCCUCAUUUCUCCCAUACUCUGUGGGAGUUCUGACUUUCAUCCAAGAUCUUCCCUAUGACUUUAAGAGCAGAAAGACAUGGUCCUUGUGGUGUCUCCCAAACUGGACUCCUCUUAGUUACAAGUGGACUAUGACUGACUUAUUAAAAUGAUCCUCAUCUUUCCAGAAACACUUGAAUGCUGCCACCAGUAUAUUUUUUAGCUGAGACCUUCCUCUUCCUUUUUUCCCCAUAACCAGAAUCUGUGGUCUGUGCUAACAUUGCUUCUCCAUGAAAAUUUCACUCCCACUCCACUCUUUCUACCUUUCUGCAGAUGCCUGCACUUUCACCGCAAAUCAUGAAAUGAUUACAUAUUUUUAACAGCAUUAUUGAGAUUAAAUUUAUUUACCAUAAAGCUCACCCAGGUAGCAGUGGCUGCCAGCUAUACCCUUUCAUAGAAUUAGCCUUUUCUUUAGGCUUUGCUCUUCUCAAAACAAAUACUUCCCUUUUUGUUCUCUUGUUUCCUCUUGUAAGUCCCUAGGAUUAUUAAACAUAGGGCUUGAAUUUCACUUUGAAAUGUUUUCCACGUUUGUGGUAAUAAUGUCACCUGAGGGUUUCUACUAGAUUAAGUAAAGGAAGAAACAGAGUGGGAGGGGAAUGAAGUGUGACAAACUCUCUUAUAAAAGAUAAGGCAAAAAUGGCAGUCAAUUAUUGUUUCUGAUAAAUGUAAUGUCAUCCAAUAAUUUAUAGUAAUUCUGAGAACUAUAGCCAGUAAAAUGAAUUUGCAUAGUCUGUCUUCUUUAGGACACUGAUUUUCAAACUUGAAUGCACACUGGAAUCACCCGAGGAAUUUAAAAAAACACCGACACCUGGAUCCCACACAAGGACCCUGAUUUAAAUGGAUAAUCCUCACCAGCCUCAGAGUUCAUGUCUGAAAGUAUAGAGGCGGCAGAUAACCAAUGCAAGUGAACAUGGGUGAAAAUGGAUGAAAGUCCAUCUGGGCUGUCUGCAAAAUGAGAAGAUUCUAGACACUGUUUCUUAAAUACCUUGGAGGCGAGGAUCACAAAAUGCUCUCAGAAGUUUAUGAAAGCUAUGGAGUCUCCGGAAAUAUUCAGAAUUUUGCAUGUUCUGGAUGAAGCCUUCCACCAUUUUAAAGCUCCUUUUAUGGAUAUUUCUGGUUUUGGUCUCAGAUUUUCAUUCUCCAAACAUUCUCUUUAGAUGACCACAUUCACUUUCAAGUAUUCAUGCCAAAUAAAUCUUCAUUUCCAGCCCAGACCUCCCUCCAAACUCUUGGUUUGUUUAGUCACUUGCAACACAGAUUAUUCAUCCAGAUUUCCAUGGGCAUCUCAAAAUCAACACAUCCAAAAUGAAGUUAUCAUCCCUGAUAAUCCUCCUAGCUCCUGUCCCAUUCAUCUCCCUCCCAUCUCUCACCCAUAAAGAAUUAACUACUGAUGUUUCUCACUAACCAACCCAUAAUAAUGACCUGCAUUAAUUAAUCCAUGUGCAAUUCAGAAUUACUUACAUUCAUUUAUCCAUGUGAUAUUUUCACUCAUUAAUCACCAUCGUCUGCAUAUGUAAACAGGAACAACAACAUCCACCUAUCCCAGCAGGGGUUUUGCAAUUACUUUAAAGCCUUUUCAAAUAUAUUUUUGUGUGAUUAAAAUGAUGGAGAUAUUUCAAAUGAAUUCAAGUAUAAAAUGCAAAAUAUUCCAACUUCAUAAACUGUUUACUUCUGGCUUAGAAAAUGUUAAUAUUUUUACUCAACCCAUCUGGCUCUGGAGAUGCUGUGUGUGCUUGAUAAUUGUAUGUGAAAAUUAUUAUUUGCAUCUUUAAAAAUUACUUGAGGAAUGCUAUUUAUUAAACUUGUUAUUCCUAUCUAUUUUUUGACAACAUAAUACAACUUUAAAUUCAAAAGAAAAAUUGACAAGACAUAUUUUAGCAGUUUAAAAUGAACAUCACAGAUACAAAAUGAUCAAAGUAAAAUAUUAUUAGCUGUAGAUGACUCAAAUAUUUCCUCGUCUUACUGUCUUUUGUUUUGAUGUGAUUUCCUUCCAUCCUUAAAAAAUCCUGUAGCACCAUCUGCUCCUAUAACACUUUGGCAUGCUUAAAAAUUUCAUUUCCAGACUCGGCAGUUUUGAAAUACUUCCAUGGACAUUUCUUAAAGAAAAUAAGUUGGAAGAAUUUCCAUUCCUCCCAGCUUGUUUCUUAAUAAACAGCAGACGAAGUACUCAAGAAACACAGAGCUAUAUAAAUGUUUUGUUAUAAUCAGACAUUUCCCUUCUGAUUUUCCCUCUGACCCUGUGGCUAUAUUAUGCCUGAGGAAACAGUAUUUUAUAUGCUAUGUGCACAGUUUAUGCAACAAUUUUUUAAUAUGCAGAUCUGGUUUUAUAAUCUGAAUUCUAAAAUGUAAUGAAUUUCCAUGAAGUGUAUGUUUCAUGGAUAAGCCAGCAUUUAAUAAAUGACUAGAUUACCCAAACACUCCAAGGGAAGUUGGAGACUAAGCAAGUAAUAUCAGUAAAAAUAAUCCAAUAAACUAAAUAGAUUCUCCUUCUACGAAAUUUAACCAUACAUUUAGAAAAAAUUAGACUUCCAGUUUUUGACAGCGGUAAUGGAAAAUUAAGUGGCUCAUUUUUUCAAUGUGUAUGACUCCAAGUCGUUGAAACUGAUACAGAAGUAUAAAUAAGAGGUAUUAAGUGAUGCUGAAACUGUGGUAGGAGAAAUAGCAAUGGACUAAUGGCCUCCUCAGGGAAGCCUAAAUAUAGGUGUUGCAUUGUUUACAAAUAUAUUCAUCCUUUUAGUCACUUAUUCAGCAUAUAUCAAACACCUACUAUGUCUAGAUUUCAUGUUAGUUUCUGCAAUGAAUCAAUAAUUUCCUUGUCAUUUUAAAAUAAUAUUUAUCUAUCAUCUUAGAGAUGCAACUUGGUCCCCUUCAUCCAGCAAUUUCUACUCUAACCCGUUUUUCACAUAAUAGCCAGAGUAAAUUUUGUAAAGUUACAAUUGUAUUGUAGGAUAAAGGUCUAACUCCUUAAUGUGGUUUACAAUGCCCUUUACAAAAGUCUCACUUUUACUUACCCUCUUAGUCUCUGCCUUUCUACACUUACUGUCUAGCCAUACUGAAUUACUUCGCUGUCACUCGAGACUUAGUUCUUUGCAUGCUCUUUCCUCCACCAAAAAUAUUUUUUUUUCUCCUCUCCUUACCUGGCUUCUUUUUUAAAAACUUUUAUUUAUUUAUUUAUUU
This 4607-nucleotide long non-coding RNA is filed under the name Homo sapiens (human). RNAcentral's name for it is "HSALNT0354408". Lineage: Eukaryota; Metazoa; Chordata; Mammalia; Primates; Hominidae. The record is from RNAcentral.